UAUUACAAUGAAGAGUUUGAUCCUGGCUCAGGAUGAACGCUAGCUACAGGCUUAACACAUGCAAGUCGAGGGGCAGCAUGGUCUUAGCUUGCUAAGGCCGAUGGCGACCGGCGCACGGGUGAGUAACACGUAUCCAACCUGCCGUCUACUCUUGGACAGCCUUCUGAAAGGAAGAUUAAUACAAGAUGNACCUAGUCUUCGAUGGAUAGGGGUUCUGAGAGGAAGGUCCCCCACAUUGGAACUGAGACACGGUCCAAACUCCUACGGGAGGCAGCAGUGAGGAAUAUUGGUCAAUGGGCGAGAGCCUGAACCAGCCAAGUAGCGUGAAGGAUGACUGCCCUAUGGGUUGUAAACUUCUUUUAUAAAGGAAUAAAGUCGGGUAUGCAUACCCGUUUGCAUGUACUUUAUGAAUAAGGAUCGGCUAACUCCGUGCCAGCAGCCGCGGUAAUACGGAGGAUCCGAGCGUUAUCCGGAUUUAUUGGGUUUAAAGGGAGCGUAGAUGGAUGUUUAAGUCAGUUGUGAAAGUUUGCGGCUCAACCGUAAAAUUGCAGUUGAUACUGGAUAUCUUGAGUGCAGUUGAGGCAGGCGGAAUUCGUGGUGUAGCGGUGAAAUGCUUAGAUAUCACGAAGAACUCCGAUUGCGAAGGCAGCCUGCUAAGCUGCAACUGACAUUGAGGCUCGAAAGUGUGGGNUAUUCCACCUGGGGAGUACGCCGGCAACGGUGAAACUCAAAGGAAUUGACGGGGGCCCGCACAAGCGGAGGAACAUGUGGUUUAAUUCGAUGAUACGCGAGGAACCUUACCCGGGCUUAAAUUGCAGAUGAAUUACGGUGAAAGCCGUAAGCCGCAAGGCAUCUGUGAAGGUGCUGCAUGGUUGUCGUCAGCUCGUGCCGUGAGGUGUCGGCUUAAGUGCCAUAACGAGCGCAACCCUUGUUGUCAGUUACUAACAGGAUUUGCUGAGGACUCUGACAAGACUGCCAUCGUAAGAUGUGAGGAAGGUGGGGAUGACGUCAAAUCAGCACGGCCCUUACGUCCGGGGCUACACACGUGUUACAAUGGGGGGUACAGAGGGCCGCUACCACGCGAGUGGAUGCCAAUCCCAAAAACCUCUCUCAGUUCGGACUGGAGUCUGCAACCCGACUCCACGAAGCUGGAUUCGCUAGUAAUCGCGCAUCAGCCACGGCGCGGUGAAUACGUUCCCGGGCCUUGUACACACCGCCCGUCAAGCCAUGGGAGCCGGGGGUACCUGAAGUGCGUAACCGCGAGGAGCGCCCUAGGGUAAAACUGGUGACUGGGGCUAAGUCGUAACAAGGUAGCCGUACCGGAAGGUGCGGCUGGAACACCUCCUUUCUGGAG
This 1354-nucleotide ribosomal RNA is filed under the name Phocaeicola vulgatus. RNAcentral's name for it is "bacterial SSU rRNA". It matches the Rfam family "Bacterial small subunit ribosomal RNA". The record is from RNAcentral. Lineage: Bacteria; Pseudomonadati; Bacteroidota; Bacteroidia; Bacteroidales; Bacteroidaceae.